Molecule: ribosomal RNA, 1389 nt
Filed under: Cereibacter sphaeroides
Lineage: Bacteria; Pseudomonadati; Pseudomonadota; Alphaproteobacteria; Rhodobacterales; Paracoccaceae
Description: Rhodobacter sphaeroides 16S ribosomal RNA
Rfam family: Bacterial small subunit ribosomal RNA
Source: RNAcentral
ACACAUGCAGUCGAGCGAAGUCUUCGGACUUAGCGGCGGACGGGUGAGUAACGCGUGGGAACGUGCCCUUUGCUUCGGAAUAGCCCCGGGAAACUGGGAGUAAUACCGAAUGUGCCCUACGGGGGAAAGAUUUAUCGGCAAAGGAUCGGCCCGCGUUGGAUUAGGUAGUUGGUGGGGUAAUGGCCUACCAAGCCGACGAUCCAUAGCUGGUUUGAGAGGAUGAUCAGCCACACUGGGACUGAGACACGGCCCAGACUUCCUACUGGCACGCAGCAGUGGGGAAUCUUAGACGAUUGGGCGCAUGCCUGAUUCUAGCCAUGCCGCGUGAUCGAUGAAAGACUUUAGUGUUCGUUAAAGAUCUUUCAGGUGGGAAGAUAAUGACCGGUACCAUCCUGAAGAAGCCCAGGCUAACUCCGUGCCAGCAGCCGCGGUAAUACUGGAGGGGGUUUUAAUUCGUGAUUCGGAAUGACUGGUGGUAGAGCGCAUGUAGACAUGAUCGGAAAGUCAGAGGUGAAAUCCUCAGGGCUCAACCCGGGAACUGCGUGUGAAACUCGUCGAUCUUGAGGUCGAGAGAGCCUGAGUGGAAUUCGGAGUGUAGAGGUGUAAUUCGUAGAUAUUAGGAGGAACACCAGUGGCGAAGGCGGCUCACUGGUUCGAUACUGACGCUGAGGUGUGAAAGCGUGGGGAGCAGACAGGAUUAGAUACCCUGGUAGUCCACGCCGUAAACGAUGAAUGCCAGUCGUCGGGCAGCAUGCUGUUCGGUGACACACGUAACGGAUUAAGCAUUCCGCCUGGGGAGUACGGCCGCAAGGUUAAAACUCAAAGGAAUUGACGGGGGCCCGCACAAGCGGUGGAGCAUGUGGUUUAAUUCGAAGCAACGCGCAGAACCUUACCAACCCUUGACAUGGGGAUCGCGGUUCCAGAGAUGGUUCCUUCAGUUCGGCUGGAUCGCACACAGGUGCUGCAUGGCUGUCUUCAGCUCGUGUCGUGAGAUGUUCGGUUAAGUCCGGCAACGAGCGCAACCCACGUCCUUAGUUGCCAGCAUUCAGUUGGGCACUCUAGGGAAACUGCCGGUGAUAAGCCGGAGGAAGGUGUGGAUGACGUCAAGUCCUCAUGGCCCUUACGGGUUGGGCUACACACGUGAUACAAUGGCAGUGACAAUGGGUUAAUCCCAAAAAGCUGUCUCAGUUCGGAUUGGGGUCUGCAACUCGCCCCCAUGAAGUCGGAAUCGCUAGUAAUCGCGUAACAGCAUGACGCGCUGAAUACGUUCCCGGGCCUUGUACACACCGCCCGUCACACCAUGGGAAUUGGUUCUACCCGAAGGCGGUGCGCCAACCUCGCAAGAGGAGGCAGCCGACCACGGUAGGAUCAGUGACUGGGGUGAAGUCG